GACGAACGCUGGCGGCGUGCCUAAUACAUGCAAGUUGAGCGAUGAAGAUUGGUGCUUGCACCAAUUUGAAGAGCAGCGAACGGGUGAGUAACGCGUGGGGAAUCUGCCUUUGAGCGGGGGACAACAUUUGGAAACGAAUGCUAAUACCGCAUAACAACUUUAAACAUAAGUUUUAAGUUUGAAAGAUGCAAUUGCAUCACUCAAAGAUGAUCCCGCGUUGUAUUAGCUAGUUGGUGAGGUAAAGGCUCACCAAGGCGAUGAUACAUAGCCGACCUGAGAGGGUGAUCGGCCACAUUGGGACUGAGACACGGCCCAAACUCCUACGGGAGGCAGCAGUAGGGAAUCUUCGGCAAUGGACGAAAGUCUGACCGAGCAACGCCGCGUGAGUGAAGAAGGCUUUCGGAUCGUAAAACUCUGUUGGUAGAGAAGAACGUUGGUGAGAGUGGAAAGCUCAUCAAGUGACGGUAACUACCCAGAAAGGGACGGCUAACUACGUG
This 497-nucleotide ribosomal RNA is filed under the name uncultured bacterium. RNAcentral's name for it is "partial 16S ribosomal RNA". It matches the Rfam family "Bacterial small subunit ribosomal RNA", at positions 28 to 507 of the family's 1533-position model. The record is from RNAcentral.